CGGAGGAUCCAAGCGUUAUCCGGAAUCAUUGGGUUUAAAGGGUCCGUAGGCGGUUUGGUAAGUCAGUGGUGAAAGCCCAUCGCUCAACGGUGGAACGGCCAUUGAUACUGCCAGACUUGAAUUAUUAGGAAGUAACUAGAAUAUGUAGUGUAGCGGUGAAAUGCUUAGAGAUUACAUGGAAUACCAAUUGCGAAGGCAGGUUACUACUAAUGGAUUGACGCUGAUGGACGAAAGCGUGGGUAGCGAACAGGAUUAGAUACCCUGGUAGUCCACGCCGUAAACGAUGGAUACUAGCUGUUGGGGGCAACUUCAGUGGCUAAGCGAAAGUGAUAAGUAUCCCACCUGGGGAGUACGUUCGCAAGAAUG
RNAcentral lists this ribosomal RNA (366 nucleotides) under uncultured organism. Its description in RNAcentral is "bacterial SSU rRNA". It matches the Rfam family "Bacterial small subunit ribosomal RNA", at positions 526 to 896 of the family's 1533-position model. The record is from RNAcentral.